This is a long non-coding RNA of Homo sapiens (human), 1272 nucleotides long. RefSeq lists it as uncharacterized. The transcript is spliced from 2 exons. NCBI's taxonomy places the organism in Eukaryota, Metazoa, Chordata, Mammalia, Primates, Hominidae. The record is from RefSeq and is a predicted model, not a curated record.
GCCAGUGUGUAGCAGAUCUCCUUCUGCAGCCUUGGCUAUGAUCUCCGCUCCUCUCUCUCUCUGCCUUGGCUAUCUGCCUGCUCUCCUGCUGUCCUCAUCUGUAGGAGCUGCACAGCUCAGCAAGAAACUGUUCUUAGUGUGCCCAUCAAAGCACUGGAAGAAAAAGAAUACUGAGAUAGUUGCCUGAAAAGCAGAAGCAGCUCCUGUCACAGUGCCAAAUGCACUCGUUUAAGGAAUUCUGAUUUUACAAAAGGAACUCCCCCAACCCCCAAACUAAAAGUUAAAGAUGAAGAAGCAUCAUGUCUUAAAAUAGACAGUUUUGUGUUUUCUCACUGCAGUCAAAAACAGAACUCUGGCAAAACAGCAUGGAAUGGGAAGUGGACGUGGCUUUCUGCAUAAAACACAUACCCUGCAACAUAGCAAAUUACUCUGCCUGAUCCUUCACCCAUUAUCCUUGGACCAAGCUUAUGCUUUCUGUAAAGUGAGUCUUCAUCUUGAGAAUCCUUAUUCACUAGACAGAUUUGAUUUGCUUUGCUUCACUUUCAAAUACAUCAGGACAGGUCUGAAUUUGUAAUAGGUAUCUUGUCUCUUUUACUUAGGACCAUUACUCUUUACAUUCCUUUUGAAAGUCUUUUUGCUACUCUCAAUAGAUCAGAGAUAGAAAAAUUUUCUUAGAGAAAUCUAAGAAAAUAAGUUCGCUUCAAAAAUCUCUAAAAUGCCUUCCAAUAUGAAGAUGACCAGAUGACCAGAACUGUCCAAAUUUUUGGACAAUGUUAUUGUUUCCUCCACCACCUGCUCUUUCCUUUCUCCUGUAAAGAAGAGAGCCUUUAAAGAAGUAAAAAUAUUAUACCAAUGCCCCUCAUUGAGGGUCCAUAAUCAUAUCAAUUUGUAAAGCACCUGCAUUUAUUAACCUCUAAUUGAAGAUGGUGUCCUCUGUAUUUUUCACUGUGCCCAAUGCAAAAACUCAUGUGACUAAUUAUGUUCAUAAUUAAAAAUAUUUUUCUCUUUUGUUGAACUGAUGAGAUUCUUUGAAUUAGAAACUAAAACCCAUCUAAUUCUUUGUGCUUAUAUUUGUUUGACUUCCAAGAAGUUUGUUUAUAAUCUUCAUGUUUAAUUAUAGUGUUAUAUUUGUUUUCAGUUUUCUGAUGUAAUUGUUUUAAGUAAUUAGGCUGUACCUAAUUAUUAUUUAGUUAUCGCCUAUUGUUUUGUUUGCUUUUAAAAAACAGUUUUUAUUGUUUUAAAAAUAAACUUUAUCAAAUGCUUUUGAGAAUA